This 492-nucleotide ribosomal RNA is filed under the name uncultured bacterium. RNAcentral describes it as "partial 16S ribosomal RNA". It matches the Rfam family "Bacterial small subunit ribosomal RNA", at positions 28 to 507 of the family's 1533-position model. The record is from RNAcentral.
GACGAACGCUGGCGGCGUGCUUAACACAUGCAAGUCGAACGGAAAGGCCCCCACUUUUUUGGUGGGGGUGCUCGAGUGGCGAACGGGUGAGUAACACGUGGGUGAUCUGCCCUGUACUUCGGGAUAAGCUUGGGAAACUGGGUCUAAUACCGGAUAGGACCAUGGUUUAGUGUCUCAUGGUGGAAAAAUUAUUGUUUUGGUGCAGGAUGAGCUCGCGGCCUAUCAGCUUGUUGGUGGGGUAAUGGCCUACCAAGGCGUCGACGGGUAGCCGGCCUGAGAGGGUGGACGGCCACAUUGGGACUGAGAUACGGCCCAGACGCCUACGGGAGGCAGCAGUGGGGCAUAUUGCACAAUGGGCGCAAGCCUGAUGCAGCGACGCCGCGUGGGGGAUGACGGCCUUCGGGUUGUAAACUCCUUUCGUUAGGGACGAAGCCGCACCUUUUUUGGGUGUGGUGACGGUACCUUUGUUAAGAAGCACCGGCUAACUACGUG